AAAAAUUAAAACACAAUAUAAGCUAAAAAUAUUUCACACUGGUACAAGUCGAGAGGGAAUAUGCAUAAUUUGCACUUUAUGCACAACAUCAUUCUGUUUUGGAGCGCACCACAUUUAUAUAGUCAUAGAUGGUGUUUUAAUACAGUGUUAGAUCUACUACCUCUCCUUAGGCUCCACAUACUUAGAAGAGCGUGACUAUUUCCAUGUUUCUAAUAGACAAAGCUGCAUAUGAGCCAAACACACAUGUGAAAUAAUCUCCAGUCACCUGUGUUAAAAAAUAAAAAUAAAAACUACCAAAACGGCAUAAUCAAGGCUGGGGAAGUUGAUUUCACAUGCAUGUUUGGCAUUUCAUCAUUGUGAGCCACACAACAGCACAAGUCUGAUGAAAAGAAGCAUCAUCCAAAUACUUCGAGCUCUAGUUGGACGGAACUAAUCAACGUUCACACUUACGUAUUCCAGUUAGAACAUUCUUCGUUUUCAGGCAUCCUUGUCUAACUCAUGCAGACUAGAAUGGUGACUAAAUUACUAAAUCUAACAUGUGAUGAAAAGCCAACCGCAAUCCCUGACACUGAAUGAGUAAAGCUUGUACUUUUCGUAACAAUUUACAAAAUCGAUUUACGUAUGAAGCGGCAAGGAAGCGAUAACAUAAGAUAAGGCAGAUCAAAGUCGUAGCUAACAUCUGAGAUGAAAACACGUUCUUAAAGCGUUCACGUAAGUUAAACAGCAUGAAUCGUAUGUAAAAAAAAUAAAAAAGGUGCUUGUGUGGUAUCAAAGUGUUUGACAAUCGCAGUGUGCAUCGUACACACUCUCGUCCUAGGCGCGUGUGGUUCUAGCUCAGCAGCAUAACAGUCAGCCGUCAGAGUUAGCACACAAAACCAUAGCUUAGUCUUGCUGGGCCAGUGUUGGAAGGGUAACAAGGCGGACGUCAGGGACAGACAGGAGACUGCUGAAGUAGUGUCACAGGUAACCGUACACAAGCCUUUUGCCGCUAACCUCCUUUUGCAAAACUGGCACGGGAGAUAAUCUCCUCACCACAUUAUGUCACGCAGCCCCGGAGACUUACAGACGCCUGUGAGACGUGACUUCGCAAAGUUCUCUAUGGAAGGCCAAAAUUGCCAAAAACACGUGAAUUUUUACACAUCAACGACAUGUUAAAUAUGCAUAUUUAAUCUUCCAUAGUCCUCAAGCAUGUACGUGAACGUCCCCGCAGAUGCUCAGUCCGGGCCUGGCCUAUCACUUUUAGGGGUUUAACAUGGCUCAAGAACAGCACAGUGAUUUGAAAAGGCAGUUACUAUACUAAUAGCUAAGGGCUAUACUAAUAGCUAGGUACGUUCGCAAAGUAACACGACCUGGAGUCAGUGUAGGAAACGAAUAACAACCCUCUUGAAUUGUGCUCAGGGUGGGAUACACCAUACCAGAGAGGCCUGGGUCAAGUUUCAGUGGCCUUUUAAGGCCCGAGUCAAGUUUUUGAUGGUUCCAAAUAUAAACUAUGCACAAUCAAUAUGGCAUUUCAGCGCCGGGAGCGAAAUACGUGCCUCAUGACAGGAAAAAAUAGCAAAUUCAGUGGACUCAAACAAGCCAUUGUCUUCCUAAACAGAACAAGUGAUCUGGAUUAAAAUGAUAUGGAUAAUUCUCAAAAGAUCAUGGUUAAUUAUUAACCCUUGUGCCCUAAACUCUGAUUUCUACGUUCUGCUAAUUCAAAUUUAAAGGGACAAUUUACUCAAAAAAUAAAAAAUUCUUAUCUGUAUGACUCUGUAGUCAUACAGUAAUCAGCAGUGUCCAAAUGCUGUUUUGGACCCCAUUGACUUUCACUGUAAGGACAAAAACAUUCUUCAAAAUAUCUUAUUUUGUGUCCCACUGAAAAACGGAAGUCAUACACGUUUGGAACGAUGAUCAGGAUGACCAUUUUGACAAAUGAUGACAAAUUAAAUUUUUUGGGCAAACUGUCCCUUUAAACUAUGGUGCGACUCUGUGGCAUAAUGUAAUUUAUGGCAGAAAUACUUGUCUGACAGUUUGGAAACAAACUUAAUAUUGAAUAUGGUGAUUGAAAUCCACUUAUAAAGCAAGUUCAUUGAGAAAAAUGGAGUUUCAUUAUAAGCAGGUGACUGUCGACACACUUUUUGUUUUUCAAAGCACAUUUUCUGUAGUAAUCAACAGUGUGCGACAGAUGAAGCUCGUCGAUGGAGCUUAAGUUAUAUUUAACCCAGAACAUUCCUUUAAGGCAAAGCUUGAUUAGAACUCCAAACGUAACUAAUUCUUAUGCUGGUAAAGCACAGCAAUCAAGUAUAAUUUAUUGAAGUGCAAGUCUGCUACCCCUUGCGGCUAGUCCUUCCUCACUGACAUGGAGAUAGCCAUGUAUGAAAGACCGGGUUACAUUAUUUAGCUGAGGAUGUGUCACCUCACACGGUCAUUACUGUCAUCGGCGCUGCACUAAUCCCAUCAUUACACAGGGAAUCCCCAGGAAGAGUUUAGAAGAGGACAAAAAACGAAACAGUGAACUGUAGGAGGAAGGCAAAUGGGUAACAGUUGUUGCGGUAAGCUCAGGAUGAAGCGGAUCACCUGCUUUCAGCUUGAGAGUGCAAAAUGUUCAGGUAGGAAAUAACAUAAUACAUAUCAAUCGUCAUCAAAUAACUUUUUGCAAUGCAAGUCCCCGCAGACACACCACACGAAACGACCGUCCCGAUCCAAUCAGUUCAUGGGGGGUGUGUCUAGUGUCAUGUCCUGAAUGAUGAAAAAGUCUUGAUUUAAAUGAAAGUUCAUGAAUAUCACCACAGAGACUGAAAAAAAAAAAAAAAAAAACAGGCACCCUUGUCUAAACCAAAGGACAGGGGGUCCGGGAAGUUGAUCUUGUCCCAUAAUUAUUCCCAAACGUUUCCAUGCUAAUCCCAGAGCAGUG
This is a long non-coding RNA of Sinocyclocheilus anshuiensis, 2896 nucleotides long. RefSeq lists it as uncharacterized. The record is from RefSeq and is a predicted model, not a curated record. The transcript has 2 exons. Lineage: Eukaryota; Metazoa; Chordata; Actinopteri; Cypriniformes; Cyprinidae.